Molecule: ribosomal RNA, 468 nt
Filed under: uncultured bacterium
Lineage: Bacteria
Description: partial 16S ribosomal RNA
Rfam family: Bacterial small subunit ribosomal RNA
Source: RNAcentral
AAGGAACGCUAGCUAUGUGCUUAACACAUGCAAGUCGAACGGUAAGGCCGUGGUGCUGUGCGGUGCUAAAGUGGCGACCGGGUGAGAAGUAGGUGGGUUCGCUCCGCUUGACUUUAGAGUUACUACCGGAAUCUGGAGCUGGUACCGGAUAGGUGCUCAUGUUGCAUAGAGGGGGUGGGAAAGUCUGGGCGGUUGGUGAUGGACGCGCGGCUUAUCCGUUUGUUGGUGGGGUAGUGGCUUACCAAGGCUUUGACGGGUGGCCGGCCUGAGAGGGUGACCCGCCACAAUGGGACUGAGAAACGGGCCAGACUCCUACGGGAGGCAGCAGGGGGGAAAAUUGCACAAUGGGCGGAAGCCUGAUGCAGCAACGACGCGGUCGGGAUGACGGCCUUCGGGUGGUAAACCGCUUUCGCCUGUGACGAAGCGAGAGUGACGGGAAUGGGGAAAGAAGCACCGGCUAACUACGUG